This 1016-nucleotide long non-coding RNA is filed under the name Nicotiana benthamiana. RNAcentral's name for it is "long non-coding RNA (NBEN_LNC030825)". Lineage: Eukaryota; Viridiplantae; Streptophyta; Magnoliopsida; Solanales; Solanaceae. The record is from RNAcentral.
AUUUCACCCAGUUACGAAUUACAAAAAAAAUGACACUGUACGAUCUCAAAGAUUUUUAUUACCCAUAUUUUCAUCAUUGACCCGAAAUAGCCUUCCGACCCAAUUUAUUUACAAGCUGUAACCACCUUCUAUUCCUAAUGUAUUUCUCUUCCCAGAAGGCGAUUACAAGAUAGCCCGGUGACAAACUUGUCCACAAAACUAGAAAUCGCAAAUUGCUUAAGGGGCCAUGAAAAGGCUAAGAGAAUGGGAACAGAGCUCGGCACAAGCAACAAUCAGCGGUAACAGCAACAUAUAUCCGGCACAAACUUCAGAAUCCCAAAGAAACGAAAGAUAAGUCAGCAGCAACUUCAAACGGUCCUACUCUUGAUUUUUGUAUGAGAUUUUUAUAUUCCAAGACACAGGAAUCCGUGUAUUUGUUCUUCCGGAUUCAAAACAAGCUCAACAGCUUCACCAAACUCUAAAAUUCCCCCAAAAAGUAAAACAAAUUGAGAUUGCACCCGACCUUGCAACCUUGAAAUUCAGCUCUGGUCUCUCUAAUUUCACGCUCUUACUAGAGACAUAAGUGUGUGUGAAAGGUAGGAACGUGUAUAAAUGAGAGGGAUCCAUUUGGGUGUGUGAUUUUUGUCAAGAAGAAGAAGCUGGCGACGGGUCGUCUCCUAUGCUCAGCGGCGGAUUCCCCUUCUUUCGGGUAUAUCGUCACUCUCUCUAUAAUAGAGUCUAAGGUCCGGUUUGGACCAAGAUCAAGCCUUAGCUUUUAGUACACAAAAUUUUCUUUUUUCCUUGUUAAAGACCUUAAUCCAAAGGUAAUGGCCCCCAGUACUUGAGGUCGAACUCGUGAGGGCUCGGAUACUGUUGACUUGAAGCGAACGAUCACUAAAUACAAUUUGAAACCGGUCUUUGAAUCUAAGUUAUCACGUUUUACUGUUGCCUCAUUAAAAACCUUGCUAAAAAAUUCACUUUGGAACAAAAUCGGUUCAAGGGGAAAAUAGUACAACGCGUAGUGUCAGAUCUAAUAG